CCUACGGGUGGCAGCAGUGGGGAAUAUUGCACAAUGGGGGAAAGCCUGAUGCAGCGACGCCGCGUGAGUGAAGAAGUAUUUCGGUAUGUAAAGCUCUAUCAGCAGGGAAGAAAAUGACGGUACCUGAUUACUUCGCCCCGGCUACCUACGUGCCAGCAGCCGCGGUAAUACGUAGGGGGCAAGCGUUAUCCGGAUUUACUGGGGGUAAAGGGAGCGUAGACGGCAGCACAAGUGUGGAGUGAAAUGCCGGGGCUUAACCCCGGAACUGCUGUUGAAACUGGGCAGCUAGAGUGCAGGAGAGGUAAGUGGAAUUCCUAGUGUAGCGGUGAAAUGCGUAGAUAUUAGGAGGAACACCAGUGGCGAAGGCGGCUUACUGGACUGUAACUGACGUUGAGGCUCGAAAGCGUGGGGAGCAAACAGGAUUAGAUACCCGGGUAGUC
This 440-nucleotide ribosomal RNA is filed under the name uncultured bacterium. Its description in RNAcentral is "partial 16S ribosomal RNA". It matches the Rfam family "Bacterial small subunit ribosomal RNA", at positions 338 to 795 of the family's 1533-position model. The record is from RNAcentral.